CCUACGGGUGGCAGCAGUGGGGAAUAUUGGACAAUGGGCGAAAGCCUGAUCCAGCCAUGCCGCGUGUGUGAAGAAGGCCUUCGGGUUGUAAAGCACUUUCAGUGGGGAAGAAAGCCUUGGGGCUAAUACCCUCGAGGAAGGACAUCACCCACAGAAGAAGCACCGGCUAACUCCGUGCCAGCAGCCGCGGUAAUACGGAGGGUGCGAGCGUUAAUCGGAAUUACUGGGCGUAAAGCGCGCGUAGGCGGUCUGAUAAGCCGGUUGUGAAAGCCCCGGGCUCAACCUGGGAACGGCAUCCGGAACUGUCAGGCUAGAGCGCAGGAGAGGAAGGUAGAAUUCCCGGUGUAGCGGUGAAAUGCGUAGAGAUCGGGAGGAAUACCAGUGGCGAAGGCGGCCUUCUGGACUGACACUGACGCUGAGGUGCGAAAGCGUGGGUAGCAAACAGGAUUAGAACCCCAGUAGUC
Molecule: ribosomal RNA, 464 nt
Filed under: Vreelandella stevensii
Lineage: Bacteria; Pseudomonadati; Pseudomonadota; Gammaproteobacteria; Oceanospirillales; Halomonadaceae
Description: partial 16S ribosomal RNA
Rfam family: Bacterial small subunit ribosomal RNA
Source: RNAcentral